CGCAAUGGGCGAAAGCCUGACGGAGCGACGCCGCGUGAUCGAUGAAGUCUUUCGGGAUGUAAAGAUUUUUUAUGAGGGAGAAAGUUUAUUGAUGUUACCUCAUGAAUAAGGGGUUGCUGAACUCGUGCCAGCAGCAGCGGUAAUACGAGUGCCCCAAGCGUUAUCCGGAAUCACUGGGUGUAAAAGGUGUGUAGGUGGCUGUGUUAGUCUCUUGUUAAACCUCUUGGCUCAACCAAGAAUUUGCGAGAGAUACGGCACAACUAGAGGGCGCGAGAGGUGAGUGGAACUUAUGGAGUAGGGGUGAAAUCCGUUGAUACCAUAGGGAACACCGAAUGCGUAGGCAACUCACUGGUGCGUUCCUGACACUGAGACACGAAAGCGU
Molecule: ribosomal RNA, 382 nt
Filed under: uncultured organism
Description: bacterial SSU rRNA
Rfam family: Bacterial small subunit ribosomal RNA
Source: RNAcentral